ACUGUGGUAUGUCUUCGGAGGAGGAACCCAACUGACUGUCACAGGUCAGCCCCCAGCAUCUCCUUCGGUGCAAGUCUUUGCUCCUUCCGAGCAAGAGAUCAAAA
This is a long non-coding RNA of Thamnophis elegans (Western terrestrial garter snake), 104 nucleotides long. RefSeq lists it as uncharacterized. The transcript is spliced from 2 exons. NCBI's taxonomy places the organism in Eukaryota, Metazoa, Chordata, Lepidosauria, Squamata, Natricidae. The record is from RefSeq and is a predicted model, not a curated record.